CUUCGUGCUAAUAGAGAAGAGGUUCCACCUAGCUCCAUCCCGAACCUAGAAGUUAAGCUCUUCUUCGCUGAUGAUACUGCAACUUUCAGAUGUGGUAAAGUAGGACGGUGCGGAGAU
Molecule: ribosomal RNA, 117 nt
Filed under: Helicobacter apodemus
Lineage: Bacteria; Pseudomonadati; Campylobacterota; Epsilonproteobacteria; Campylobacterales; Helicobacteraceae
Source: RNAcentral